Long non-coding RNA from Apaloderma vittatum (bar-tailed trogon), 943 nucleotides. RefSeq lists it as uncharacterized. NCBI's taxonomy places the organism in Eukaryota, Metazoa, Chordata, Aves, Trogoniformes, Trogonidae. The record is from RefSeq and is a predicted model, not a curated record. The transcript is spliced from 3 exons.
GUGGACGUUAUUUCUCUGUGACCAGUUGACACUGUCCUCUGCACCUGCUGGACAGAUACAGCCAUUCUGAUGUUUUGACUAAUAAAAUGGGAUGCUCGAGAAGGAGAUAAGAAUGCAGGCUCUUGCAGAAAGGUUCCUUCAGGAAGUCUGGUAAUGCUUGUAUUGUUUGAUUAAUUAUUUUAGUUCUCUGGAUAUUUUGGCAACUGUCUCUACAGAUGGAUGACAAGUAACCAAGAUCUCCUGGAAACAGCGCUUCACCUGCUUAGUUUGAUUCCCUAAAAGAGUUCCUCUGUUUACCCACUAAGUUAACAGCAACCAAUAAAUGCACCAACCUUUCUAUUAACAUAGGGCUGGCUGUGUCCUGAACCUGCGUCAGAGAGAGACGACUUGGUAUAUCGUGAACAUAAAUCAGUUACUAGAUUGCACAAGAAGCACGAUGGCGAUUGUGCUGGAGGCGGAGAAGGCAGUGCCAGCUCUCUAGAGCGGACGAGUGACAACCCUCUAGAUAUAGCUGUAACCAGGCUCGCUGACUUGGAGCGGAACAUAGAGCGAAGGUAUCUGAAGAGCCCCUUAAGUACCACCAUUCAGAUCAAACUGGAUAAUGUGGGCACAGUUACUAUCCCUGCUCCUGCACCAUCCAUUAGUGGUGAUGGUGACGGAACUGAAGAGGAUAUUGCUCCGGGGCUAAGGGUGUGGAGAAGGGCAUUGUCAGAAGCGCGCAGUGCUGCACAGGUAGCCCUGUGCAUUCAGCAGUUACAGAAAUCAAUAGCAUGGGAAAAAUCUAUUAUGAAAGUUUACUGCCAGAUUUGUCGAAAAGGAGACAACGAGGAACUGCUGCUCCUGUGCGAUGGCUGCGACAAGGGCUGUCACACCUACUGCCACAGGCCCAAGAUCAGCACGAUCCCAGACGGGGACUGGUUCUGCCCCGCCUGCAUCGCCAAGG